RNAcentral lists this unclassified non-coding RNA (330 nucleotides) under Hevea brasiliensis (rubber tree). Lineage: Eukaryota; Viridiplantae; Streptophyta; Magnoliopsida; Malpighiales; Euphorbiaceae. The record is from RNAcentral.
CGAUGAUUCUGGCCUGUAGCGAGCGGUUCUAUAUUUCUGCAGGUGGCUUUUCACGUGGUAUAUGGUCAAGCCUUCCAUUUUCAUGAGCUUCAGAACUCCUUUAGGAGUAGCUUUUUCACUGCCACCAAGUCUGUUAACGGCUUCCACGAAGCAUUCAUGGAGUUCUGGUGUCCAUCGCAUGCGUGGCUUGGAUGUGGCACCAUUAGCAGAGGAGGGACUAGGGACGGCACAAGAAUCCACCGAAUGAGAAGGGACUGAUAGUUGAAUCGGCGGCUGGUUCACUGGAAAAUUUAACGAUGCUGGAACUAUUGAUUGUAUGGCCUGUACUUG